UGUUCUGAACCCGGAAGUACUCCCGGGAGGGCCAGGGAGGCCUCGCACGUGUGCUGGCUUCUUCCCCAGAGGGAGCAGGAAGGUCUGCGGCGCGUUGCCUGCCAUGGAGGGCCCUCCUUCUUCGUCGAGGCUCCUGGGCCAGAGCCGCCAGUUCCUGGAUUUCUUCUGGGACCUGGCCAAGCCUGAGCAGGAGACCCGCCUGGAGGCCACCGAGGGACUCCUGGGGUACUUGAGGGAGAACCAGAAGAAGGAUGAAGACCUGUUGAAAUACACACUGAAGCGCCUGGUCGUCGGCUUGGGAGCGACUCGAGAGGCGUCCCGCCCUGCGUUCAGCCUGGCAUUGGCACAAGUAUUGCAAGCGUUUGAGGAGAUUCCCCUCCUCACAGCCCUGGAACAAAUAAAGGAGAAAUACAACCUUUCCAAAGUGAAGAAGAAGCUCUUUAGAAAUGCUCUGUUUGGAAACUUUUUUGGAGUACUGGCUCUUUUCCAGUCUGGACGUCUUGCAAAGGAGUCAAAGGCCCUCCUGGAGUGUGUCCAAGUCCUCCAGAGCCUUUCGGAGCAUCAUGCCCACCUGAAAGAUCUCCCUCGGAAGACGCUGGCUGACAUUGUCACUGAGAUUCCAGAAGCUGUGUUUGAAGAGGUCCUCUUCAGCAUCCUGGAAGAUGACCUGACCGAGGCCUUCAGCACCCCAGGGCAGCUCUACCUCUUGUUGGUGGGCAUCCAGAGGUUUCCAAGAGUUCUCCGGCCAGAGAAACUGAAGGUGCUCUUAGGUACAUCUGCUGUUGUCACAGAGGAGAAUAUUCCUCGGUUGGUGGAGGUUUUGAAGAUGGCUGCAAAGACUGAAAGGAAGGAUCGGGUUCUUCCAACUGUUGGCUUGGACUUGAUGAAGGUUUCUCUGAAGGAAGGCACCUUUGAGCUGUUUUGGGAAGAAGCUGUAGAGAAAGGGUUGCUCACAGAUAAUACCGGACCCUGCAGUUAUAUGUGCUAUCGUUUGCUGGGCAGCGCUUUCCCACUCUUGUCUCUCAGCCAGCUAAAGACGAUUCUUCAAGGGGAGGUUAUGCGUCACUAUGGGAUCCAUGUUGUGUCAGCUAAGCUCCCCAAUAGAUUUAAGUUUGCCCCAGAGAUGGAAGCCUUGGUUGGCUCAUUCCUGGAGGGAUGCAGCGACCCCAAGAAGCAGCUGGCAGUCAUGAUCGGCUUCUCCACCCUCACCAACCACGGCUAUCCCGUUGUACCCAGCUUCUGGAAAGUGGUGAGGCAUUUGCUUCCUGACGCGCUGCUAAACUACAUCAGCUGGCUCAAAAGCAUGUUUCUCACUCCGGACCUAGACAGCUGCGUGGAGUUUGCUACUAAGCGGCAGCAGCAGAAUGAGAAGAAAAAGAACAGUGAAUUGACGGAGCACUGUGUGACACGGCUGAGGAAAUGGCUCAUAGCCCGUCUGGUUGGGAUAGCCGAAAAUCCACAGAUAAAGAGGGAAGAAGAGUUUGUGGCUGACAUUGCCAGGUUCUGCUUCUUCCAUGCAUUUUUCAAGACCAAGAAACCAACCUCCAAGAUAUCAGAGACAGCAGCUAUCCCGUCAGUGCCGCUAAGUGCACCAUCUCGCACGGUUACUGCGGACUCAUUUUUCAGUUUGCUUCAGCACCUGAACACAAUGCCAGCCCUGGGGGAAUCGGUUGAGGCAGAAGAAAUGCGGAAGAAGCAUCUCCAUGGCUUGACUGCCAAUGGGGAGCCGUGGAUCUACCUGGCUGUCCAGUAUGCCAACACUCUCCUUUCGGACAAGAAGCAUGUUGAAGCAGUGGCCCCGUUCAGCGAGGAGGAGCAGUUUGCCUGGGACCGAAUGCUGCAGACGGUGGAAGCCCUGCGGAGGAGAGAGCAGAAAGGCCUCACCUUGAAGACCACUGCCUUCCAGCACCUGCUGCUGUUAGUUGGCAUUCACCUCUUCAAGUCUCCUGCUGAGUGUGUGAACCUCCUGAAUGACCUCCAGAAUUGCACCAAGAGGGCCUUCGAGGAGAAGCACAAGAAGAAGACGUCAGCUUCAGCCAGUGGCGAAGAAGAGCCUGAAUGGGUGGAGGUGAUUGUGGAAGUUCUCCUCUCCCUUCUCGCCCAGUCCAGCGCACUGAUCCGGCGGGUCUGCAAAAGCGUGUUUGCACUUGUGUGUCAACACAUGACGGAGGCUGCCCUGCAGCUGAUUCUGGAUGUUCUUGACCCGCAGCAAGACCAGGAUGAAGAAAGUGCCGUAGUGGUGGUAGAAGAAGCUCAGAAGAAGAUGAAGAAGAAACCCUUGCCAGAUGAGAGUGACGACGACAGCGGAAAGAGUUCUUCUGACGAAGACAGCUCUGAAGACAAUGACUCCGAGAGUGACGAUGCGAGGAUGGACGCUCCGGAGACGGAUAGCGAAGCUGAGGGCGAGGCGGAUGAGAACUUCCGUGCCAUGCUGAGGAAUGUUCUGCAGGCUGGCAAUGCACUGGGCGGAGAUGACAGUGAUGAGGACGUUGAUGACGAGACCAUGAUGUCCCUCGACAAGAACCUCUCGGCCCUCUUUGCCGAGCAGCAGAAGCGCACCCAGGCCAAAAAGGACGAGAAGGAGAAAAUCCGGAAGGAGAAGAUCUUACGGCGGGAAUUCAAAAUUAAGGUCCUGGAUUUGGUGGAGGUGUUUUUGACCAAGCAGCCAGAGAAUCCCCUCGUCUUCCGAGUCAUCGAACCACUCCUCUCUGUGAUUGAGCAGAGCAUGAGUUCAGAGUCCAACAAGCAAGAGCAGGACUACCUCCGGAAGACGGCAGAUAUCUUCACGAAUAGUUUAUGUAGAUCGAAGCAGUAUUGCAAAAAUGUGGCUCCCAUCCGGGAGGAGCUGCAUAACCAGCUGGAAAGCCUGGUGAAGAGAGCCUGCAGGCAAAGUGACUCCACAGUAGCCCUUUACUGUUUCAGUGCCUCUCUGUACCUCUGCCGAGUGUUGAAAGGAAAUGUGGGAAGUAAUGAAGGGGCGCCGGUGACUGCCCAGCCAAAAAAGAAGCAGAAGAGCAGCGAAGGCAGUGAUGCGCCAGCUGCUCAGCACCUGCCUGUUGGCUGUCUGGAUCUGGAGCGAGUGACCGCCGUGUAUAAGGAGGCUUUGAACCUGUUUCUGACGAAACGCAAAAGCCCACUGACUGGAUCCAUGUUUCUUGAUCUUUUUGAGCGGCAUCCGAUCAUGUGCAAACCACUGAUCGCCACUGUUGUCAAGUCGAUCACAGAGGGAGCCAGGCAACCCCAGCAGGCCCAGGCAUGUCUGCUUCUUCAGAAAGCUCUCCAAACCCGGGAUUUCAAGCUCUCAUUCUCUGAACAACAGUGGGAAGAGUUGAUCCGAGAAAGCGUCCAACAAGUCACCAAGACUUUAAAGAUGGUGGGUCAGUUCAAGAUCAAGGUGGACCAAGAGAAGGCCAUCAAGUGUCUGGAGCUGUUGAACUGCCUCAUCAAAAUGGUGACCAAACAGGAGCUCCCUGUGCAGCUGACAGAGGUGCCCAUCGCGAUGCAGGUCCUGGGCCAGCAGGAAGGCUUUGGGAAAUCCACCCGGCUCACCGAUCUCUAUUGGAACGUCAUGAAGCUCCUGGGAUUCACGCGCCCGGCGAAGGAGAAAGCGUCAGCCCAGGCAAAGCCCCCGACGGAAACGGAACCACCCCUGAAGCGGAAGAAAAAGGGUUUUCUGCCAGCCACAAAGAUACGCAAGAACCGCAAGAAGGCCUUGCCUGGCCAUUCCCAGGAGACUGGAGCCAAGAGCAGCGACGUCAAAGAGACAGUCGUGGGUGCAGAAAACGCCACCCCUGCAGGGAAGAAGAAAAAGAGGAAGAACAAGAAGAAUCGGGGAGAAGGAGGCGAAGAGGGCCAAGCGUCGGAGUCAGGUCCUCCGGCAAAGAAGCCGUCUCGCCCAGCAGUUGGGGCUAAAGAAAAGGAGACCCAAAAUCCGAAAGAGAAGAGGAGGAGGAGGAGAAAUAGGAAGAAAGGGAAGAAAGCAGGGACUCAGCUUGCAAAGGAUGGGCCCGAUUGAGCUUUUGGAGGAGGAAAGGGCUGGCGGUGUAUCUGUAUAAAGAAACUAUUUUGCAGGAGAUGGCUCCUCUUUGUGGGAUGCUUUAUUACCUGGGCCUAUGGCUUCUAUGAACUCGUGGCACACUACUACUCAGAAUCCCAUUGACUCCAAUGAGGUUUGAAACGGCGGCCUAAUUAUGCCAUUUGAGAGUCGGCAGCAAGGCGCAAGAGAGGCUCCCAUCCUACGUUCCUCCUUUGUGGCAACAAGGCUCUUCAGAUGUUCUCUCGGCAGGGGCUGCUGUCGACGCCGCAGGAAAGGAAACCUACACAAGUCGCGCAUCAAAGCCUCCGCCACCUUCGCACAACGCAACUUCAAGCAGCGCGGCAGGCAGGUUCGAGGGUCUCUUUACCGGAAGCACGGAGCCCGGGACCGACCGACGCCGAAAAGGUGGCACCAAAGUAGCAUCGAUACUACCUCCCCAACCCCGGGUUCAACCGUUUAACCUUACGUCAAGAUGCAGGGAAGCGCACCUUCUGCGGCGUACUUUUUACCUCUUAAAUCGAGAGGGACGGCAGAUAUCUACAGCCCCUUCCAAUCCCUGCGUCUUGCAUUUCCUCUCCAUCUUUGAUUCUAUACAUGUCUCGAGAUUUAUAUUUCUCUCUUUUGAUUUUGUCUCGGGAUCACGGAUCCAAGUUUGGGGACAGUUUGCGAAACAGGAACGUUUGCUGCACGGCUUUGCGUUACGGAUGGCAUCUUCCUGAGGAAGAUGAAGGAGAACGCGAAGGAGGUGGAAAGGAAACAGUGGGCACCACUUUUGGACUCCAGAUCUGAGGAGGCCUUGCCAUAGCUAUUUGCCCACCAGCCAGAACUGAAGAGGUCACUGGCAUCCAUCUUCUCAAAACAGCUGUCUCGAAACCCACAAUAGCAGCAAAGCACAUCAGUGCGCCAAGAAAAAAAGUGUUCAGGCCAUUCCUCGUGGAAGCAGCUGCAACCUCAUAAUUCUUUGCGUGGUGCAUAGAACUGGGAGGGCAUUGCUGCUGAAAGUGGGCACUCUCGCCAACCACCUUCCUACCUUGGAGGACCACAACUGGCCUACACCAAAGCCAUCCCUGUCAUCCCUGUCACCGCUACUUCUUUCUAUCCCUUGGGAUGCUCAAAAUGACACCCUAGUAUCAAGUCCAAACGCCUACUUCAUGCUGGUUCAAGAACAAACCCAGCGGUGAGUCUGAGGUAGUUCCGGGAGCGAACUGCUAGUGCAAAAAUCACAAUCAUAAAAAAUAAAUUCCUUACAUUAAACAUAUGGGGCCAGCAUCCCUGUCGGUGAAUUAAGAGGAUAUAACUCCGAUGUGCGCCACUGUGACUCUAUUUUGGCAAUUGUGGCGGUCAAAUUUUUUUUCCAUUAUCGAGCAACAAAAAGUGCCCCCCAAACCCACCUUGUAAGCAGUGUGACCACUCCGAACACGUCUCUUCCCAUGAUGUCAGAGAGCAUGGAGAUCAGUAGGGCUGCAACCAGCUGUUUCCUGGAGUUGGAUGCGCUGCAAGGGACCUUCUGAGGAUCUCUGGAAGUCUCUGGUGAUGCUUGCCAUAUUGCCUCCAACUGGAUGCCUCCUCACUGAUCCACCCGCUCUCAGACUACACAAAAAUGGUAUUUUGGGUAGGGUGGGUGGCCUCCCAUACUUAAAAGGUGAGAUUUUGGG
This is an RNA transcript of Sceloporus undulatus (fence lizard), 5691 nucleotides long. It is a transcript of the gene named MYB binding protein 1a, with no coding region annotated. The transcript has 29 exons. The record is from RefSeq and is a predicted model, not a curated record. Lineage: Eukaryota; Metazoa; Chordata; Lepidosauria; Squamata; Phrynosomatidae.